This 592-nucleotide long non-coding RNA is filed under the name Homo sapiens (human). RNAcentral's name for it is "MYO3B antisense RNA 1". The record is from RNAcentral. Lineage: Eukaryota; Metazoa; Chordata; Mammalia; Primates; Hominidae.
GAUCCUCUCUGUUGUGAUUCAUCCCCCCGGGGCCCUACAGUUUCUCCUUCCUGACUCUUACAUUUCUUUGGAUGGCAUCAUUAUUAAGCCUGUGGCUGGCUGACAGCAGAGAGAGAUGCUCAACUUGGAGAAGGUGUUACCUGGGCCAGGUGGGGAAGGUUUGUUUGCAGAGCAAAGAAGUGAAGCCUAUUCAACGUGAAAAAGAUGAGGAUGAAGACCUUUAUUAUGAUCCACUUCCAAGUAAUGAACACACUGGAGAAAGUCAGACAGUCAAAACAAUGUCCCAGACUCCGUGAAGUUCCUGGGUAGAGAAGGAGACAGACAUAUACCAUACCUAAUAAUUGGAUGUCCGAGAGAAUGAGAGAAUGGCAGAAAGAACUUUAGAGCAUGGGUAUGAUGGCUAGAGCUUGAGCAGCCAUUGUGGACAUCAGAUGAACUUGAAAGUGAAAACUAUGAGCUGAAUACGACAAAGCAAACAGAUAGAAAACUGGAUUCAUUAUGACAUUGCAAAGCUGCCAGACCAGCUCUAGUCUGCUUCCCCCUAAUCUUCCUUACUAAGAGAGAGAAAUAAACUUCCAUCUUCUUCAAGCCA